Ochotona princeps (American pika) is the source of this 123-nucleotide small nucleolar RNA. Its record names the gene SNORA74. It matches the Rfam family "Small nucleolar RNA SNORA74". Rfam says of the family: U19 belongs to the H/ACA class of snoRNAs. snoRNAs bind a number of proteins (including dyskerin, Gar1p and Nop10p in the case of the H/ACA class) to form snoRNP complexes. This class are thought to guide the sites of modification of uridines to pseudouridines by forming direct base pairing interactions with substrate RNAs. The record is from Ensembl. NCBI's taxonomy places the organism in Eukaryota, Metazoa, Chordata, Mammalia, Lagomorpha, Ochotonidae.
CCCAGCUGUAGGCAGCUGCCUAGGUUGCUUUGUACUGAGGCAAGUGUUCCACUAUUGGGAGAAAAACAGCUAAUAGCUGGUGAACACUGUGCGCUUGGUUAAUGCCAAAUCUGUGUUAACUAU